This 85-nucleotide transfer RNA is filed under the name Sedimentisphaerales bacterium. RNAcentral describes it as "tRNA-Leu". It matches the Rfam family "tRNA". From Rfam's summary of the family: Transfer RNA (tRNA) molecules are approximately 80 nucleotides in length. Lineage: Bacteria; Pseudomonadati; Planctomycetota; Phycisphaerae; Sedimentisphaerales. RNAcentral also lists the same sequence under 1 other name. The record is from RNAcentral.
GCGAGCGUGGCGGAAUUGGCAGACGCGCAAGGUUUAGGUCCUUGUGUCCAAUUUGGACGUGGAGGUUCGACUCCUCUCGCUCGCA